GACGAACGCUGGCGGCGUGCUUAACACAUGCAAGUCGAACGGCAAGGCCCUACUUUUGUGGUGUGCUCGAGUGGCGAACGGGUGAGUAACACGUGAGUAACCUGCCCUUGACUUUGGGAUAACUUCAGGAAACUGGGGCUACUCCCGUAUCGGAUCUCCUGCUGCAUGGUGGGGGUUGGAAAGUUUAAGCGGGUGGGGAUGGACUAGCGGCUUAUCAGCUUGUUGGUUGGGGAGUGGCUUACCAAGGCUUUGACGGGUAGCCGGCCUGAGAGGGUGACCGGCGACAUGGGGACUGAGAGACGGCCCAGACGCCAACGGGAGGCAGCAGGGGGGAAUAUGGCACAAUGGGCGGAAGCCGGAGGCAGAAACGCCGCGUGCGGGAUGACGGCCUUCGGGUAGUAAACAGCUUUCGCUUGAGACGAAGCGGGAGUGACGGUAAUGGGUAAAGAAGCACCGGCUAACUACGUG
RNAcentral lists this ribosomal RNA (468 nucleotides) under uncultured bacterium. RNAcentral describes it as "partial 16S ribosomal RNA". It matches the Rfam family "Bacterial small subunit ribosomal RNA", at positions 28 to 507 of the family's 1533-position model. The record is from RNAcentral.